This 305-nucleotide ribosomal RNA is filed under the name uncultured bacterium. Its description in RNAcentral is "bacterial SSU rRNA". It matches the Rfam family "Bacterial small subunit ribosomal RNA", at positions 335 to 637 of the family's 1533-position model. The record is from RNAcentral.
ACACCUACGGGGGGCAGCAGUGAGGAAUAUUGGUCAAUGGCCGGAAGGCUGAACCAGCCAAGUCGCGUGAGGGAAUAAGGCCCUAUGGGUCGUAAACCUCUUUUGUCAGGGAGCAAAGGCGUCCACGAGUGGACGAAAGGAGAGUACCUGAAGAAAAAGCAUCGGCUGACUCCGUGCCAGCAGCCGCGGUAAUACGGAGGAUGCGAGCGUUAUCCGGAUUUAUUGGGUUUAAAGGGUGCGUAGGCGGAGUGUCAAGUCAGCGGUAAAAGCCCGGGGCUCAACCCCGGCGAGCCGUUGAAACUGGC